UUCUUAUCAAGAGAGGUGGAGGGACUGGCCCUUUGAAGCCCGGCAACCGUUGACAAUUGUCAGUGCGGUGCUAAUUCCAGCGGAGUAAUGGCUCUGGCAGAUAAGGU
Molecule: non-coding RNA, 107 nt
Filed under: Bacillus sp. (in: firmicutes)
Lineage: Bacteria; Bacillati; Bacillota; Bacilli; Caryophanales; Bacillaceae
Also listed under: 1 other name
Description: Bacillus sp. SAM-I sequence
Rfam family: SAM riboswitch aptamer (S box leader)
About the family: The SAM riboswitch is found upstream of a number of genes which code for proteins involved in methionine or cysteine biosynthesis in Gram-positive bacteria. The SAM riboswitch acts at the level of transcription termination control.
Source: RNAcentral